CCUACGGGAGGCAGCAGUGGGGAAUAUUGCACAAUGGGGGGAACCCUGAUGCAGCAACGCCGCGUGGGUGAAGAAGUACUUCGGUAUGUAAAGCCCUGUCAGCAGGGAAGAAAAUGAUGGUACCUGACCAAGAAGCCCUGGCCAACUACGUGCCAGCAGCCGCGGUAAUACGCGGGGGGCAAGCGUUAUCCGGAUUUACUGGGUGUAAAGGGAGCGUAGACGGCAAGGCAAGUCUGGAGGGAAAGCCCGUGGCUCAACCAGGGGACUGCUUUGGAAACUGGGUGGCUGGAGUGCAGGAGGGGGGAGCGGAAUUCCUGGUGUAGCGGUGAAAUGCGUAGAUAUUAGGAGGAACACCGGUGGCGAAGGCGGCUUACUGGAC
RNAcentral lists this ribosomal RNA (379 nucleotides) under uncultured bacterium. RNAcentral describes it as "partial 16S ribosomal RNA". It matches the Rfam family "Bacterial small subunit ribosomal RNA", at positions 338 to 734 of the family's 1533-position model. The record is from RNAcentral.